Molecule: ribosomal RNA, 806 nt
Filed under: uncultured bacterium
Lineage: Bacteria
Description: bacterial SSU rRNA
Rfam family: Bacterial small subunit ribosomal RNA
Source: RNAcentral
AGAGUUUGAUCCUGGCUCAGGAUGAACGCUGGCGGCGUGCCUAACACAUGCAAGUCGAACGGAGACGGAGCUGGAAGGGACAGUUUACUGUAACGGAAAGAUCUGUCUUAGUGGCGGACGGGUGAGUAGCGCGUGGGCAACCUGCCCUGUACCGGGGGAUAACACUUAGAAAUAGGUGCUAAUACCGCAUAAUAGGGAAUACUGCAUGGUAAUCCUUUGAAAACUCCGGUGGUACAGGAUGGGCCCGCGUCUGAUUAGCCAGUUGGCGGGGUAACGGCCCACCAAAGCGACGAUCAGCAGCCGGCCUGAGAGGGUGGACGGCCAUACUGGGACUGAGACACGGCCCAGACUCCUACGGGAGGCAGCAGUGGGGAAUAUUGCACAAUGGGGGGAACCCUGAUGCAGCGACGCCGCGCGAGUGAAGAAGUAUUUCGGUAUGUAAAGCUCUGUCAGCAGGGAAGAAGAAAGACGGUACCUGACCAAGAAGCCCCGGCUAACUACGUGCCAGCAGCCGCGGUAAUACGUAGGGGGCAAGCGUUAUCCGGAUUUACUGGGUGUAAAGGGAGCGUAGACGGCAGGGCAAGUCUGGAGUGAAAGGCAGGGGCCCAACCCCUGGACUGCUCUGGAAACUGUCCGGCUGGAGUGCAGGAGAGGUAAGUGGAAUUCCUAGUGUAGCGGUGAAAUGCGUAGAUAUUAGGAGGAACACCAGUGGCGAAGGCGGCUUACUGGACUGUAACUGACGUUGAGGCUCGAAAGCGUGGGGAGAAAACAGGAUUAGAUACCCUGGUAGUCCACGCCGUAAACGA